RNAcentral lists this small RNA (662 nucleotides) under Pongo abelii (Sumatran orangutan). Its description in RNAcentral is "processed transcript". The record is from RNAcentral. Lineage: Eukaryota; Metazoa; Chordata; Mammalia; Primates; Hominidae.
CUUGCCCAACAGAAGGUGGAAAAAGUCUUGGGAAAAAUUACUGAAAGUAAAAAUAAACUGGCCUAUGAAAAGGGAAAACUCCAGAUAAAAGUUAAACAGCUAGAAGAACAAGUACAAUCUUUUACUGACACCGGCUUACAGAAUGAUCAUCUACGCAAGAUGAAUAAGUCUCUACAGACUAAAUAUGCUCAGGUGUGAUUAAUAUCUACAAAAGCGGAUUGCUGCUAUAUUUCUUUUUUAAGAAAUUGUUUGAUGUCUUUUUCCCCACUUUACCAUACAAUCCCAGAAAGAUCAAUAUGCUGUCACUUGACUCAAUUUAACAAACUUUUUUUCAAGCACCUAGUACAUACAAGGUUCUGCUAAGCCUCAGAAAUUGUAAAGAUACCUGAAGCAGGAUUGAGACAUUCAACUUGCUUAUUAUAGUUAGGAAAUGUACUCCAUAAACUUUAUUAGAGAACACAAAGUUAUGCUUUUCAGAAAAAUAGUGUAUUACUGAACAUUCAUAGGGAGCAUUAUUAUGAGUAGAAGCAGUGAGAAAUGCUUUCAUAAAGGCAGUGCUUUUUAAACUUGAGCCUUACAAAUUUUGGCAGUUGUGAGGAACAAGUAUCUUUGUUUUUUGAAUUAAAGGCAAACUCAGAACUCAGGGCCAAGAGGGUACACCU